RNAcentral lists this transfer RNA (87 nucleotides) under Acidobacteriota bacterium. RNAcentral's name for it is "Acidobacteria bacterium tRNA-Leu". It matches the Rfam family "tRNA". Rfam says of the family: Transfer RNA (tRNA) molecules are approximately 80 nucleotides in length. Lineage: Bacteria; Pseudomonadati; Acidobacteriota. RNAcentral also lists the same sequence under 1 other name. The record is from RNAcentral.
GCCGAAGUGGCGGAAUUGGUAGACGCGCCAGGUUCAGGACCUGGUGGGGUCACACCCGUGCUGGUUCGAGUCCAGUCUUCGGCACCA